AUGCCAAAACCCGCUGAUGAGAUGCCAACCGUGCCAGUUCACCAGCGAGGGCAGUAUGACGUCUCCAGCUUCCUGAAGGUCAAGCCACUGGCUCUGGGGAUAUUGGAACUAUUGCUAGCCUUACUGGGACUCUGUUUGACAAUCUGGAAUGUCCAUUUUUCUCUUCUCUGGUCACCAAUCAGCUUCAUUUUAACUGGAGUAUUGACAGUCUCGGCAGCAAGAACAUGUAAACCAUGUCUGGUCAAAUCCUCACAAAUGCUCAGCUGUUUCAAUACGGCAGCAGCUGCUGUGUCUCUACGCUUUCAUUUUUAUUACAGUUGGGGUGUGAUCUGUUUUCUCCUGAUGGCCUGUGAUACUCUCAUCCUCAUCUUCUCUGUCACUGUUGCUUUGUCCUUCUGUUGCUGCUGCUGCAGACCAAAGUCAAGACGUGUCGAGAUCAGUUACAUGAACGCAGAUUUGCCUGUCAACCAUGUUGUGUUCAUGGGCCAGCCGGACCCGUCUGCAGUGGUACAGUCCUUUAGUUCAGUCAUGUAUGUGCUGCCUGCACCUGCACCUCUGCCAAACUACAGUCCGGUCCUAGAUAUACCUCCACCAGCCUACGACCAGAUCUCAGCUGCACCUCCACCAAACUACAGUUCAGUCCCAAGCGCUCCUCCACCAGCAUAUGAGUAUGAAGAUUUACAGACCAGAAGAUGA
RNAcentral lists this long non-coding RNA (696 nucleotides) under Carassius auratus (goldfish). Its description in RNAcentral is "lncRNA (ENSCARG00000003472.1)". Lineage: Eukaryota; Metazoa; Chordata; Actinopteri; Cypriniformes; Cyprinidae. The record is from RNAcentral.